This 74-nucleotide transfer RNA is filed under the name Alteromonas sp. RNAcentral's name for it is "tRNA-Thr". It matches the Rfam family "tRNA". From Rfam's summary of the family: Transfer RNA (tRNA) molecules are approximately 80 nucleotides in length. Their secondary structure includes four short double-helical elements and three loops (D, anti-codon, and T loops). RNAcentral also lists the same sequence under 1 other name. Lineage: Bacteria; Pseudomonadati; Pseudomonadota; Gammaproteobacteria; Alteromonadales; Alteromonadaceae. The record is from RNAcentral.
GCCUCCAUAGCUCAGUUGGCUAGAGCACGUGAUUUGUAAUCUCGGGGUCGUGGGUUCGAGUCCCUCUGGAGGCU